CUACGGGCUGCACCAGUGAGGAAUAUUGCACAAUGGGGGGAACCCUGAUGCAGCAACGCCGCGUGGAGGAUGACGCAUUUCGGUGUGUAAACUCCUUUUAUAUGUCAAGAAAAUGACGGUAGCAUAUGAAUAAGCACCGGCUAACUCCGUGGCCAGCAGCCGCGGUAAUACGGAGGGUGCAAGCGUUACUCGGAAUCACUGGGCGUAAAGGACGCGUAGGCGGGUUGGAAAGUCAGGUGUGAAAUCCUACAGCUUAACUGUAGAACUGCACUUGAAACUUCUAAUCUAGAGUAUGGGAGGGGGAGAUGGAAUUAGUGGUGUAGGGGUAAAAUCCGUAGAUAUCACUAGGAAUACCUAAAGCGAAGGCGAUCUCCUGGAACAUUACUGACGCUAAGGCGUGAAAGCGUGGGGAGCAAACAGGAUUAGAUACCCGCGUAGUC
This 440-nucleotide ribosomal RNA is filed under the name uncultured bacterium. RNAcentral describes it as "partial 16S ribosomal RNA". It matches the Rfam family "Bacterial small subunit ribosomal RNA", at positions 339 to 795 of the family's 1533-position model. The record is from RNAcentral.